Molecule: transfer RNA, 80 nt
Filed under: Trichosporon asahii var. asahii CBS 2479
Lineage: Eukaryota; Fungi; Basidiomycota; Tremellomycetes; Trichosporonales; Trichosporonaceae
Also listed under: 1 other name
Description: tRNA-Gly
Rfam family: tRNA
About the family: Transfer RNA (tRNA) molecules are approximately 80 nucleotides in length. Their secondary structure includes four short double-helical elements and three loops (D, anti-codon, and T loops). Further hydrogen bonds mediate the characteristic L-shaped molecular structure. tRNAs have two regions of fundamental functional importance: the anti-codon, which is responsible for specific mRNA codon recognition, and the 3' end, to which the tRNAs corresponding amino acid is attached (by aminoacyl-tRNA synthetases). tRNAs cope with the degeneracy of the genetic code in two manners: having more than one tRNA (with a specific anti-codon) for a particular amino acid; and 'wobble' base-pairing, i.e. permitting non-standard base-pairing at the 3rd anti-codon position.
Source: RNAcentral
GGGAUGUUGAUCCAGUGGUUAAGAUGGCUGCCUUCCAUGCGGAAUAGCAGCUUACCGGGGUUCGAAUCCCCGACAUCUCA